Long non-coding RNA from Dama dama (fallow deer), 2590 nucleotides. RefSeq lists it as uncharacterized. The record is from RefSeq and is a predicted model, not a curated record. Lineage: Eukaryota; Metazoa; Chordata; Mammalia; Artiodactyla; Cervidae. The transcript has 3 exons.
UCAAAUCCAAGAUUGUUAGGUUGAAAAGUCUAGAAACUAAGCUUUUCGCCACCGAGCUACACUGCUUCCUAUAAAAACAACUGCAUGUGUAUCCUCAAGGGAAAUGUACAAAAACCCCAUCUUUCUCCACAUGAAACUCACUGUGGUGCUUCCUUGGCCAAGCUCUGAAACAUUGCACCACAUACUCCUAUUUCAGGGGAAAAAAAGACAUUGAUUGCUUGGUUUUAUUACAUUAGGGUAUGUGUCACAGGUGCAGCCAGAAAAAAAAAUCUCACAUCUCAGUGAAAUCAAUAUGUAAGGUGGUCCUACAAAGUAACCUCUUCCAUUUUUGUCUAAGGUAUUUCAGCAUUGUUAUGAUGCUCUGUGUAAUUCUCUUUAAAUUUGUUCAGGCUUUCUAAUCUUCCUUAGUUCUCCAUUUGUACCACUUAUUCCACUUUUGGGUCCUCAAAUAAUUAAAUUAUCAAAACUAGAGAGCACAAUCAUCAAGGACUACAAAGGAGGUCCUCAAUUACUUCAACUUCCAAAAGAAGUGUCAAAGUGAAAGGAUAAAAAGUAAUGAAACCUCUAAUGAAAUCUAUUGGAACAAACUGCAGAUAGCCACUUAGAGUAAUUAUUAUUAGGAAUUUAGAAUUCUAAUAUUUUGGUUGCUGGUAACUUAUGCUACAUGAUUAGUGUAGAUAUUCAGGAAAUAGAGGCUCCUUGUCAGUAAUGGACACCUAAGCUUCCUCCUCUUGCUUUACCACUCCACUCUAGAUCAGAGGUGAUGGGAGGAUCAGAACUGGGAGCCAUCCAGAAAGAAGCAAUUGCAGGAGAUCCGUGGGCAUUGUAAGGAAAACAGGAAUGUAACUAAUUCCUAAUUCUAUAUUAAACUUCUAGAGGAGCCCCAUUAAGAAUUCUCUAUACUCUAAACCCUACUCCUUUAUUUUUGUUACUGAUCAGGUACUUCUGGGCUAUGCCAAUUUUGAUGCUUGAAUACCUGUGAGUGGGCAAAAAGCUCUUCUAAUCUAAAAGUGCAGCCAGGAAAGGCAUCAAACACGAGAACAACCUCCUGUCUAUUCUGGCCCCCUCUCCCAUUCGUCUACUUUUGAUAGAGGAAGUAUUUACUGUAAAACAGCAGAAUUUUCCUCAGCCGAUCCCUCCCUAAGCACAUCUCCUCUCCCCCCAAACUCCCCAGCACACCUUUUUUUAAAAAUUUUUCCUAGUCAACUUUUGGACUCUUUAUACUAGCCAUAUGGUUGCUAACGCCAUCACUUCAACUCUGUCCCUGUCCAUUUUAAAUUCGUAUUCCACACAAGUAAAAUCUAGUCGAUCUCAGCAAGGGUCUAAAAUGUAGAAUUAUGCCUGUUAAUUCUGCCUCCGUCAAGAAGCACCCAUACAGAAAAACAAAACAAAACAAAACAAAACCCAAAGUGGCCCUUCUCGGUCCCAGCCCGGAGCACUUGGUUUCCCAGCAAAAGACACUGGGUUCAGCCCCAGUCGGAAACUCCCAGCCUCACUGGGUGAAAACGGGGUUUUCCGGAGACCUGUCCCUCUGGGGUUUAAAAGCGUGUCCCGUGGGAGCUUCGCUUUCACUUCUCUAAGGACUUGGAGCUGCAAGAGCCCACAUCCUCGCAGAUCCCGGGGCGCCGGAACACCAUGAACCCAUUGUAGUGAAGCAGAAGGAGCAAGGUGAAGCAAUGAGGAGGUCAGAGAGGCAAUGAUGGAACCAGAGGAGUCAGUCCAAUGGAAAGAACAUGCAUUUCCUACCUGCUAUCAUCAUUGUUCCUAAUGUAACUCAAAUCUCUAGAAUGAGGAAGCACUUAGCCUGGUCUCUGUAUGAAAUAAUCUUGUACUAAAAUCAGAAGUUCUGUCAUUUCUGAGAAAAAUGUGAUGGUCUCUACAAACUUCCAGCAAUGCAGGUUAGGAAGCAGAGCAUCAAUUCUAUGAAUGCCACCAAUCAGGCAAUCUAAAAUUGGUAAGAUUAAUAUGCAAGUCACAUGGGGCUUUUUGGAAGUGGCUCUUGGACUCUGUCAAAAGGGUGACUUUCUCUUACUUGAAAACACAGGAAGCAGAGUUUGGUGCCUCAAGUCCAAGUCAGAUGGUUUCAGCGGUGUGCUGUGUUCUUCUGUGACAGGCCAGAUCUUGGAGACAUUUUGUUUGAUUAUGAAUGAGGAACUAGAAAUUGUAACACUGGCCAGGGAUGUAUUCUGCAUAGAUCAUACCAAUGAAUACACUGUCCACCUCAUACUUAAGAUAGUGUAUGUUAAGUGAUGAGAGAACAGACAUUUCUGCAUCUUGCUUUUGUGUCUCUGGAUAUGUUCCAGUGACUUCUAGUUUACAGUCUAUGGGAACUUGAAUAGAAUUUGUUUCCUACUGUUGUGUGAAAACUGUAUAAAUCUUAAUUAUGUUGAAUUGAUUCACAGUGCUUUUCAGGUCUACUACAUCCUUCUACUUCUCUGCAUAUUUAUUCUAUUAAUUUUUGGGAGUCUGAUAUUGAAACUCCAACUAAAAAUCUUAAUUUAUCUGCUUAAAAAUAAUUGUAAUAUACAGUGAAACUCUAUGUAACCUUGUUCUGUAUUUUCCAACUUUCCUGUAAAUGUGUUAUCAUACU